RNAcentral lists this ribosomal RNA (252 nucleotides) under uncultured bacterium. RNAcentral's name for it is "partial 16S ribosomal RNA". It matches the Rfam family "Bacterial small subunit ribosomal RNA", at positions 524 to 776 of the family's 1533-position model. The record is from RNAcentral.
UACGGAGGAUGCGAGCGUUAUCCGGAUUUAUUGGGUUUAAAGGGUGCGCAGGCGGCACGGCAAGCCGGCGGUCAAAUCGCGGGGCUCAACCCCGCCCAGCCGUCGGAACUGCCGGGCUAGAGUGGGCGAGAAGUGCGCGGAAUGCGUGGUGUAGCGGUGAAAUGCAUAGAUAUCACGCAGAACUCCGAUUGCGAAGGCAGCAUACCGGUGCACAACUGACGCUCAGGCACGAAAGCGUGGGUAUCGAACAGG